AAUAGUAUUGGAACGUCCAUUUACACUUUUCUUUAAAUCUUCUUAUAUGAAUUCUGUUUUAUAAUUUUGUGUGAGGUAAAAGGCGAUUUGUUAUUCUACAUUUAUAAUUCCUCAUUUCAAUACACUGUCUUAGGAGAGUUGGCUAAAGUACGUAGUGGAAAUAUUAUUGGAACCCUCGACGUCCACUGAGUCCCUCCCUUCCUUGCUGUCGUCAUUCACGCCGUGUUGUGGGAAGUGAUCUGAGCUGCGGGCGUGUUAAAAACCAUUAAUACUCUCAACUGAUCCUCGUGCGGGGCGUUUUGUUGUCCUGGGAGGAGCCUGGUGUGUCUGAGGGAGGAGCUGCAAGACUGGACAGCGGUAGACUGGGGAAUGUUCAUCCAGAGAGCAGUACAAGAGUGUGAAGUCCUGGCUGUGUCUGUCCCCUAGGCGAACUCCCUCGUGCCUGCAGUGGUAUUGGGUGAGUGAAGGAGUGGCGCCGCAAUAAAGAGAUGAUAUGACAACUGGGGAAUCAUGAGCACACUCGUAUCAAAGGCAAGCCGGCGGGGAGCUGCCGGGAGUGAUGGGCGCUGCUUUAUGUCACCCAAUGCUUGACGGUAUAUUGCCCUCCGUUACACGCCGCAGAGUUCGUGUGCGAGGUGGCAGGGGUGGCGGGGCAGACAUGAUGUACCAAGCCGCUGCCUGCAUUCUGAAACUCUCUGUUCCCUCACCACGACCAUUUCUAAAGGUCACAGAAAUGGUUAGCCAGGUUAUCAGGAGUGUUUCAACUGUUAAUAAUGUAGAAAUCCUGAUCAUCUGUCACUAGAACCGUAAAAAUACCCUUAACUCGUGUAACUUCAACUAGAGACUUAACUAACAAUCUCAUUAAUCUGUCACUAGAAUCAUUUAAAACAUUCUUAACAACUACGUAGAGACUUUUGAAUAUAAUGGAGGUGCUGCGCAGAAGUGUUUCAAAAUAUAGUCCUUUAUCCUGGGGGGUUGGGAAAGGGAGGGGAAGGGAGGCUAUGUCCAGGAUGGUGGUGAAGAGGAAGGUAUGUCUGAGAGUGUUGGGGAAGGAAAGGUGAAGCUAGAUCCUCUGUGAUUGGUUAGCGGGGAAAGAUAAUAAUAAAUAAAGGUGAAAGGGUGUGAAUCUUCAUUAUCCCGGCAUAUGGUGCUGGUCAGGUUAAGGUCACGCAGCCUCGCCGCCACGCCAGGUCACCGCCAUGGGUCACUACCACCCCCAGAUCACCGCCAUGCCAGGUCAUCGCCACUUGUCACCGCCACCACGUCACUGCCGGGUGCACAUCGGGUCAAUGCCCACGCACGGGAUUCAAUAACGCUUGAUCCUGGCGUGAAUUUUGAGUGGUGUUAUUGAAGUGCAAAUAUUAUAUCAGUGAAAUGUAUUUAUUUAUCUGGUGGUGCGUUUAUCUAUUUAUUUAUUUAUUUAUU
Molecule: RNA transcript, 1425 nt
Organism: Scylla paramamosain (green mud crab)
Lineage: Eukaryota; Metazoa; Arthropoda; Malacostraca; Decapoda; Portunidae
Exons: 3
Source: RefSeq, a predicted model, not a curated record